Molecule: unclassified non-coding RNA, 724 nt
Filed under: Hevea brasiliensis (rubber tree)
Lineage: Eukaryota; Viridiplantae; Streptophyta; Magnoliopsida; Malpighiales; Euphorbiaceae
Source: RNAcentral
GAAAAAUAUUAUUGCCGACUGCCAGAAAGUUUCUCUCCUCUCUCGCCUAUGGACGUGUCCUUUACUACUCUUUCUAGAGAAAAAUCCCUCUCUAUCUUGCCGAUGGAAAAUACAAAUCUGAACAAGAUACUAGCUACGGCGAGGAUUUCUUUAGCCGGACUCUCUCUCACACCUAUGCCGGCAACUUUUGCAAGUAUAACUCAUGCUCAGCCAGUGAAUUUUGGCGCUCAUGAAAUUGAAGCAGUGUACUACAGCUGGACAGAUAACAGUGGAUCAGGGAAAUCAGAUGAUGAAACGAACGGUCUGGACUAUUUGGAUAAUAAAAUUCAAACCGAGAGGCCCCCGUACUGUCUGGAUAUUUUUCUUGGUUCAUCUGACUCGCGUCUAGAGGAUCAUCCUGCACUCAAGAAAUUUCCCCUUAAUGAAAGCGGGAAAGUGAAGAAUGGAGACAAAUGGACUGUGGUAACUGUUGAAGGCAACCACAGGAUAAAAUAUCUAGAUGUAGAACAGGGUAAAAAGCAUGGCUAUAGCGUAACGGCUGAUAACCUGAAGUUAUUAAAAUUGAGGAUCCACUUUGAUUACCGUGAUCGUCCUGGUCGACCCAAAAAAGGCAAUGGGCCGUCAGAAUCAAAGAAGCGGAGACCUCUAGAGAUUAGACUUUGCAAGCAUGGGCUUGGCAAAGGAUUCGAGAAAGGAAUCGAAGGCAUGCGAGAGGGGGGAAUAA